Molecule: ribosomal RNA, 161 nt
Filed under: Microtis unifolia
Lineage: Eukaryota; Viridiplantae; Streptophyta; Magnoliopsida; Asparagales; Orchidaceae
Description: 5.8S ribosomal RNA
Rfam family: 5.8S ribosomal RNA
About the family: 5.8S ribosomal RNA (5.8S rRNA) is a component of the large subunit of the eukaryotic ribosome. It is transcribed by RNA polymerase I as part of the 45S precursor that also contains 18S and 28S rRNA.
Source: RNAcentral
UAGACUCUCGGCAAUGGAUUUUUUGGUUUUUGCAUCGAUGAAAAGCCCACCGAAAUGCGAUCCGUGGUGCAAAUUGCAAAAUCCCGUGACCCAUCGAGUUUUUGAACGCAAGUUGCGCCUGAGGCCAACUGGCCGAGGGCACGUCCGCCUGGGCGUAAUGC